RNAcentral lists this ribosomal RNA (526 nucleotides) under uncultured eukaryote. Its description in RNAcentral is "SSU rRNA". It matches the Rfam family "Eukaryotic small subunit ribosomal RNA", at positions 75 to 604 of the family's 1831-position model. The record is from RNAcentral.
UAUACAGCGAAACUGCGAAUGGCUCAUUAUAUAAGUUAUCGUUUAUUUGAUAGUGCCUUACUACUUGGAUAACCGUGGUAAUUCUAGAGCUAAUACAUGCUAAAAACCCCGACUUCGGAAGGGGUGUAUUUAUUAGAUACAAAACCAAUGCCCUUCGGGGCUCUUUGGUGAUUCAUGAUAACUAUACGAAUCGCACGGCCUUGCGCCGGCGAUGGUUCAUUCAAAUUUCUUCCCUAUCAACUUUCGAUGUUUGGGUAUUGGCCAAACAUGGUUGCAACGGGUAACGGAGGGUUAAGGCUCGACCCCGGAGAAGGAGCCUGAGAAACGGCUACUACAUCCAAGGAAGGCAGCAGGCGCGCAAAUUACCCAAUCCCGACUCGGGGAGGUAGUGACAAUAAAUACUGAUACAGGGCCCUUUCGGGCCUUGUAAUUGGAAUGAGUACAAUUUAAAUCCCUUAACGAGGAACAAUUGGAGGGCAAGACUGGUGCCAGCAGCCGCGGUAAUUCCAGCUCCAAUAGCGUAUAU